AUGGCUGCCCCGAGCGCAGGAACGAAGUGCGGCCUCGGGGGCCGUGGCCUCUGGCUGCGGAGGCUGCCUGCUGCGGGGGAGCCGGCCUCCCGGGGCGGCCGGGCUGCGGGUUCGGAGCCCGCGUGGGAGCCCGCAGACGUGCCUGCGGUUUCUCUUGAUGACCUUGGAGAGGAGGCUCUGCGAGCCGAGAAAGACCGUCUUGCUUUGGAGCAUCUGUUUCUCCGUCGCGUCAGCCCCUUUCCUAACCCUGCAAGCUUGUUGUGGCUUGUUUCGGAAAUGCCGAGACCAGUGCUCACACUUGAGGGUGGGAGAAGGGAAGAAGGGAAGAGACCGGGCGCCCCCCCCCCCCCCGCUCCUCUUCCACCGCCCCCCCCCAGUCCCCCCAUCCACAACCCAACAGAAAACCAACCCUGCAGUGUGAUCUCCAGAAAGCCAGGGAUUGCUUGCAGAUUCUCCGUCACACCUUCCUUCACUGACUCGAAUGACCUUGGGGAAAAGAAUUGUGUGCUUCGGAGCUCCUGGUUGCCUUAUCUGUUGAUUGGGGAGAAAAUAUUCUCUGGACCUCCCUGCCUUUUGGGGACGUUUGCAGAGGUUUUGUUUUUUUUUUUGUUUUUUUUUUUGUUUUUUUUUGUUCAGAGCAUUUUAAGGACUGCUGCAGUUCUGGCCUGUAAGGAGCUGGACUCGUGUUGGGGGAACUCAGAUCACCUAGUCAAGAGGCAGCUGCCAUUGAAAGAUAGCGAGUGCCUGUUUCCAGGACAGCGAGCACCAGGGGAGCCACCAGAGGUGUUAAAGGAAAGCUUAAACUACCUAAAUGACUGAUAAUGGUCUCCGGCUGCCCAAGAAGGUUGUGGAUGCCAAGAGAAAGGUAACCAUUUCUCAUCUCCUCGAGUGGAACUGGAUGUCUCUAGGAGCC
RNAcentral lists this long non-coding RNA (913 nucleotides) under Canis lupus familiaris (dog). RNAcentral's name for it is "lncRNA (ENSCAFG00030001635.1)". The record is from RNAcentral. Lineage: Eukaryota; Metazoa; Chordata; Mammalia; Carnivora; Canidae.